UGCCCUGCGCACUCUCACGUCACAUCCUGGAACUUCUGGGGGCCACGUGGCCCCCAAUCCCUGCAGCCCCUGCUGGCUCCGUGAUCGUCUGUGGGCUAAGCCCGCUCUCCCUGCAGACCCGGAAGAAGCUCUUCUCACUGAUCGUGAGGAGAGCUUCAGUGUCUGUAGACCAGGACUUUUCCAGAGAAAGGAAUACGUCUCAUUAAAAAGCAACACCACAAUAAUUAAGUAUUGAAUAUUUGCUGCUGGAGUGAUGUGAGAGAGUAGAUCUGAAGACUCUUUCAGGGAAGGAAGGGGGGAAAGUGGGGGAUAAGCAAAGCUGGGCUGUUUGCAAGGAAAGUGGAAGUGGAGUCUGACAGAGAAAGAGGAAGAGGCAAGAGAAAGAAAUAGCAGCUUAUUCUUGUCCUGUUCUGCUGAGAGAUGAAGGACCUCGAGAAAGAAGGGGCAGGCAUUUAGGGAAGUUAUGUCAUUUCCUGAUGAAGUUGGUGGAGAGAAAAGUUGUGGUUGGAAGAAAGGCGGCAUCCUUCCCAGGGAUAGAGCUGGCACUGCAAGGAUUAUAGAGCUGGCUCCUGGCUGGCAUCCAAGUAGGACUGCAUCACCGAGGUCUGAAAAAAGACAGGAAGACUGUGCAGAAUAUAUUGGAAUGCAGUAGACUGGCAACAACAUUGUCUGGAUUCUCCAUAAAAAUGAGACAACAAACCGUGGUAAUUCCAGACUAAACUGCUGGUGUGGAAGCAACCCAGAGCAAGCAAAUGUAAGAAAUUAGCACUUGGCUGUUUCUUUCAUUUUUACUGUAGUGCACCUGAGCUUUUAGCCAAAGAUUCAUAAAUUCAUAUUGCAUAAGAGAGAAGCAUGAUUAUCUCUGAUCUCUUGAGUUGCCAACAGACCACUGGACUAUAUCAAGCAAUUUACUACUGCAGAUGAGAUUAUUCUUUUCUAUAGCUUGCCUCUUGAACUAUAAAAGGUGGUUGGAUUGUUUUAGACAGAGAAAUGUAUUAGCAGCUGAGGUCUCCAGCAAGGGAAUAGGCUUAUGGAGGAUACCAGGAGAAUCCAGUUUUCUUUCUCCCAGCAAAUGUGAAAACAACUUCUCUCCGGACAGAUCUUUCACAACACUGCCAUCUCUCUUCUGAUAAACUCUCACUGAAUGAUACAUAAAAGGGAAAAACACUUUCUACAAACCAACACAAAUAAGAUUCUGGUGGGUUGUGGUUUUUUUAAAAAUGAAACCAAGCCCCUGCUGUGAGCAGCAUUUUUAUAAUGAAUACAGUCACAUAGUAAAAAUGCUGAGAAUAUAUGCUAAGAGUGGAAACUUGUGAGGCACAACAGCCCAGUUUUCAAACCUAAUUUCAGCUAAAAAAAUAUCACUUCAGACACCAAAAUCUUGUGGAGGAGGAACUGUUCUCUCAGCCUCAGGACUUGACUUCAGUCUAACAAAAUUGGCAUACAAGGAUUAUCGAGAUAACGUGUGAUAUAUACAUGCCAAAUAUCAUCAUCAUCUUGGACUACAAGGAUCUUGAACGAUAACAUAUGGCAAUACUUUCCAGGUCCUUCUAACAAGCACACAACAGGGGAUAACAACAGCAGAUAAAGAGACAACUGAAGACCCAUCUGUUUAGAGAGGCUUUUAAUGUUGUAUCUGCCAUUCAUAUCUGUCUGGUAGGUUUUAACUUUUUAACCUUCUGACCUGCAACUUUUAAACUUGGUUUUAACUGGGUCUUGUUUUUAGUUAAUUUCUAUUAAUUUUAUAUUAUUUAAUCUGUUUUACUAACUUUGUG
Long non-coding RNA from Hemicordylus capensis (graceful crag lizard), 1775 nucleotides. RefSeq lists it as uncharacterized. The record is from RefSeq and is a predicted model, not a curated record. Lineage: Eukaryota; Metazoa; Chordata; Lepidosauria; Squamata; Cordylidae. The transcript has 3 exons.